GACGAACGCUGGCGGCGUGCUUAACACAUGCAAGUCGAACGGAAAGGCCCUGCUUUUGUGCGGUGCUCGAGGGGCGAACGGGUGAGUAACACGUGAGUAACCUGCCCCUGACUUUGGGAUAACUUCAGGAAACUGGGGCUAAUACCGGAUAGGAGCUCCUGCUGCAUGGUGGGGGUUGGAAAGUUUCGGCGGUUGGGGAUGGACUCGCGGCUUAUCAGCUUGUUGGUGGGGUAGUGGCUUACCAAGGCUUUGACGGGUAGCCGGCCUGAGAGGGGGACCGGACACAUUGGGACUGAGAUACGGCCCAGACUCCUACGGGAGGCAGCAGUGGGGAAUAGUGCACAAUGGGCGGAAGCCUGAUGCAGCAACGCCGCGUGCGGGAUGACGGCCUUCGGGUUGUAAACCGCUUUCGCCUGUGACGAAGCGUGAGUGACGGUAAUGGGUAAAGAAGCACCGGCUAACUACGUG
RNAcentral lists this ribosomal RNA (468 nucleotides) under uncultured bacterium. RNAcentral describes it as "partial 16S ribosomal RNA". It matches the Rfam family "Bacterial small subunit ribosomal RNA", at positions 28 to 507 of the family's 1533-position model. The record is from RNAcentral.